AGAUUGAACGCUGGCGGCAUGCCUUACACAUGCAAGUCGAACGGUAGAGUAGCAAUACUUGAGAGUGGCGAACGGGUGAGUAAUAUAUCGGAACGUGCCCAGUCGUGGGGGAUAACGUAGAGAAAUUUACGCUAAUACCGCAUACGAUCUAAGGAUGAAAGCGGGGGACCGUAAGGCCUCGCGCGAUUGGAGCGGCUGAUAUCAGAUUAGGUUGUUGGUGAGGUAAAAGCUCACCAAGCCGACGAUCUGUAGCUGGUUUGAGAGAACGACCAGCCACACUGGGACUGAGACACGGCCCAGACCU
Molecule: ribosomal RNA, 304 nt
Filed under: uncultured soil bacterium
Lineage: Bacteria
Description: bacterial SSU rRNA
Rfam family: Bacterial small subunit ribosomal RNA
Source: RNAcentral